GACGAACCGUGCGAACGUUAUUCGGAAUCACUGGGCUUAAAGCGCGUGUAGGCGGGCGGGCACGUCCGUUGCUGAAAUCCCCCGGCUCAACCGGGGAACGGGCGCGGAUACGACUCUCCUCGAGGGGCGUAGGGGGACCUGGAACUUCCGGUGGAGCGGUGAAAUGCGUUGAGAUCGGAAGGAACGCCCGUGGCGAAAGCGAGGUCCUGGACGCCUACUGACGCUGAGACGCGAAAGCCAGGGGAGCGAACGGG
This 254-nucleotide ribosomal RNA is filed under the name uncultured bacterium. RNAcentral describes it as "partial 16S ribosomal RNA". It matches the Rfam family "Bacterial small subunit ribosomal RNA", at positions 524 to 776 of the family's 1533-position model. The record is from RNAcentral.